UGAAGGCUCUUUGAGUCGUAAACUUCUGUAGAGAGGGAAGAAUGUCCCGUUCUUCGGGAUUGACGGUACCUCUAAAGUAAGGAUCGGCCAACUACGUGC
Molecule: ribosomal RNA, 99 nt
Filed under: uncultured bacterium
Lineage: Bacteria
Description: partial 16S ribosomal RNA
Rfam family: Bacterial small subunit ribosomal RNA
Source: RNAcentral